Molecule: ribosomal RNA, 253 nt
Filed under: uncultured bacterium
Lineage: Bacteria
Description: partial 16S ribosomal RNA
Rfam family: Bacterial small subunit ribosomal RNA
Source: RNAcentral
UACCGAGGGUGCAAGCGUUGUUCGGAAUUACUGGGCGUAAAGCGCGCGUAGGCGGUGUGUCAAGUCAGGCGUGAAAGCCCCGGGCUCAACCUGGGAACCGCGCUUGAGACUGGCACGCUAGAGUUCGGGAGAGGAUGGUGGAAUUCCCAGUGUAGAGGUGAAAUUCGUAGAUAUUGGGAAGAACACCGAUGGCGAAGGCAGCCAUCUGGACCGACACUGACGCUGAGGCGCGAAAGCGUGGGGAGCAAACAGG